GCAGCUCUUUUCACCGGAUGCAGAGGAAGACCUUCUAGGGCUAGUGAGGAGUGCUACAAAGGGAAAUUGUUGCUGGAUAGCCUUUAAGUGUCAAGACCCAAUGUGAAGGACUGCAUUCCCUUGGGAAUUACAAGCAUGGUCCAGCUCUCUGUGUUUCCUACAUUCCCUCAAGACUACAGAGGUCAUCUUGCCAGUGUUAGCAGGAAAACUGGCACAAUGACUAGAGUGAACAAUCCAUAUGCAGUAAAUGUUACCAAUGUGAUUUACCUGCUCAGUGCCUUGCCAUAAAAUUUUAGUAUUUUUCAGUGAACUAUGACACUUAACUCCUAUAUUGGCACAUUUUGACCGCUGCAUUUUCCUCCUUCUUUCCAUGUUGCACCUUUUCCUCUUCAGCCCCUUAGCCAAUUGCAUCAGCUCCUGAUUCCCUUUUCAUUCCUCCUUAGCUCACCUCUAAAACGUGUAAUAGCAACACAAGAUAGUCUCCAAAAUGAUCUGGAUAAUUGUAGAAUUGACCACCAGUUAAUAGUG
Molecule: long non-coding RNA, 528 nt
Organism: Passer domesticus (house sparrow)
Lineage: Eukaryota; Metazoa; Chordata; Aves; Passeriformes; Passeridae
Exons: 3
Source: RefSeq, a predicted model, not a curated record